RNAcentral lists this transfer RNA (76 nucleotides) under bacterium. RNAcentral describes it as "tRNA-Gln". It matches the Rfam family "tRNA". Rfam says of the family: Transfer RNA (tRNA) molecules are approximately 80 nucleotides in length. Their secondary structure includes four short double-helical elements and three loops (D, anti-codon, and T loops). The record is from RNAcentral.
ACCCCCGUGGUGUAGCCAGGGAGCAUGCGGGAUUUUGGAUCCCGUGACCCGGGUUCAAAUCCCGGCGGGGGUACCA